Long non-coding RNA from Folsomia candida, 1124 nucleotides. RefSeq lists it as uncharacterized. NCBI's taxonomy places the organism in Eukaryota, Metazoa, Arthropoda, Collembola, Entomobryomorpha, Isotomidae. The transcript has 2 exons. The record is from RefSeq and is a predicted model, not a curated record.
GUGCGGAACAUACCUUUUGAAAAUUAAUAAUAAAACACCCACGUAUAUCACUUGUAACCCUGAUGUGCAUAUUUCUACCAAUGAAUAUUAAAUGGAAUAGCUGCUUUAAUGAUGCUUCCCUGGCAAAUUAAUUGAAGAAGGUGGAACCAUAAAUAAAAAAAUGCUAUUCUAUUCAAAAUGUACAUUACUAAUUAUGCAUGUUCCUUACUUUAACGACCAGUUGAUUUUUUUCGUUUUGUUUGAACAUUUAUCUAAACUUUUUUGUCGACCGAAUUAUUAUUAGGAUCGUAAAUCUGACCAUGCACGACUAAACGCAUUUAUGUAACUCUCGAACAAAUAAUGAAGCCAUGCUAAUUACUUCUACAAACUUAGGUAGGUACGAAAAAUUAUGUAACAUGCUUCUUUACCGCUUUGUAUAUAAAUGCAGAUUCGAUUCACCUUAUUCAUAUUAUUAAUACAUUCUACCUUUGCAAUACGUUGUACCAAAAUUAACAAACCACAAAAUAAAAUUUAGUGAAGGGAACAAUUUUCAUUGUAGGUGGAUACAUAUUUUUAACCAAGAAUAAGUCGAAAUGUUGCAACCCUUCUUAUUAGCUACGUGUGCAUUUCUCCUUUUGGUGAAUGUUUCCGAGAACGAGGCUGCCGUCAAUAUUCCGGGCGCUGAAGAAGUUACGAAAUUCCAACUGAACUUUCAUGAGAAGCAAUUUUCUUGCGCCAAGUAUGACGGAGUUGCUGCGUGCUACCACAAUAAUUGGCAUAAGCGGGAUCUGCAGUGUUCUGGAAGCGGGUGCAAGGCGAAGAAUAGAUUUUCUUACACACCUAACAAACUCAUGGGAGGGAAAUGCUAUUGCUGCAAAUGUUAGGGACCGUUCAUGAAUUAUGUUACGCAUAAAUGCCAAUUUUUCAGACCCCUCUUGUCACGUGUUACAUCUAAUUUUCAUGUUGGGCCCUGUCACUGUCACGCAAAACUUAUGUAUGCCGUCUCACCCAUCUUAUACCGUGACAUAAUUUAGGAGCAUCCCCCUUCAUGUUGAAGUAUACUUUUAAAAAUAAUGUUAUUCUUUUGAAAAGUAAAUACAAUUUGUGUUCCAAAUCCUGAAUAAACUUAACUCUUUUUCAGGUAA